GAUGAACGCUGGCGGCGUGCCUAAUACAUGCAAGUCGAGCGAACGGACGAGAAGCUUGCUUCUCUGAUGUUAGCGGCGGACGGGUGAGUAACACGUGGAUAACCUACCUAUAAGACUGGGAUAACUUCGGGAAACCGGAGCUAAUACCGGAUAAUAUUUUGAACCGCAUGGUUCAAAAGUGAAAGACGGUCUUGCUGUCACUUAUAGAUGGAUCCGCGCUGCAUUAGCUAGUUGGUAAGGUAACGGCUUACCAAGGCAACGAUGCAUAGCCGACCUGAGAGGGUGAUCGGCCACACUGGAACUGAGACACGGUCCAGACUCCUACGGGAGGCAGCAGUAGGGAAUCUUCCGCAAUGGGCGAAAGCCUGACGGAGCAACGCCGCGUGAGUGAUGAAGGUCUUCGGAUCGUAAAACUCUGUUAUUAGGGAAGAACAUAUGUGUAAGUAACUGUGCACAUCUUGACGGUACCUAAUCAGAAAGCCACGGCUAACUACGUGCCAGCAGCCGCGGUAAUACGUAGGUGGCAAGCGUUAUCCGGAAUUAUUGGGCGUAAAGCGCGCGUAGGCGGUUUUUUAAGUCUGAUGUGAAAGCCCACGGCUCAACCGUGGAGGGUCAUUGGAAACUGGAAAACUUGAGUGCAGAAGAGGAAAGUGGAAUUCCAUGUGUAGCGGUGAAAUGCGCAGAGAUAUGGAGGAACACCAGUGGCGAAGGCGACUUUCUGGUCUGUAACUGACGCUGAUGUGCGAAAGCGUGGGGAUCAAACAGGAUUAGAUACCCUGGUAGUCCACGCCGUAAACGAUGAGUGCUAAGUGUUAGGGGGUUUCCGCCCCUUAGUGCUGCAGCUAACGCAUUAAGCACUCCGCCUGGGGAGUACGACCGCAAGGUUGAAACUCAAAGGAAUUGACGGGGACCCGCACAAGCGGUGGAGCAUGUGGUUUAAUUCGAAGCAACGCGAAGAACCUUACCAAAUCUUGACAUCCUUUGACAACUCUAGAGAUAGAGCCUUCCCCUUCGGGGGACAAAGUGACAGGUGGUGCAUGGUUGUCGUCAGCUCGUGUCGUGAGAUGUUGGGUUAAGUCCCGCAACGAGCGCAACCCUUAAGCUUAGUUGCCAUCAUUAAGUUGGGCACUCUAAGUUGACUGCCGGUGACAAACCGGAGGAAGGUGGGGAUGACGUCAAAUCAUCAUGCCCCUUAUGAUUUGGGCUACACACGUGCUACAAUGGACAAUACAAAGGGCAGCGAAACCGCGAGGUCAAGCAAAUCCCAUAAAGUUGUUCUCAGUUCGGAUUGUAGUCUGCAACUCGACUACAUGAAGCCGGAAUCGCUAGUAAUCGUAGAUCAGCAUGCUACGGUGAAUACGUUCCCGGGUCU
This 1372-nucleotide ribosomal RNA is filed under the name uncultured bacterium. Its description in RNAcentral is "bacterial SSU rRNA". It matches the Rfam family "Bacterial small subunit ribosomal RNA", at positions 28 to 1381 of the family's 1533-position model. The record is from RNAcentral.